AGUGAACGCUGGCGGUAGGCCUAACACAUGCAAGUCGAACGGCAGCACAGUAAGAGCUUGCUCUUACGGGUGGCGAGUGGCGGACGGGUGAGGAAUACAUCGGAAUCUACUUUUUCGUGGGGGAUAACGUAGGGAAACUUACGCUAAUACCGCAUACGACCUACGAGUGAAAGCAGGGGAUCUUCGGACCUUGCGCGAAUGAAUGAGCCGAUGUCGGAUUAGCUAGUUGGCGGGGUAAAGGCCCACCAAGGCGACGAUCCGUAGCUGGUCUGAGAGGAUGAUCAGCCACACUGGAACUGAGACACGGUCCAGCCUCCUACGGGAGGCAGCAGUGGGGAAUAUUGGACAAUGGGCGCAAGCCUGAUCCAGCCAUACCGCGUGGGUGAAGAAGGCCUUCGGGUUGUAAAGCCCUUUUGUUGGGAAAGAAAAGCAGCAGGUUAAUACCCCGCUGUUCUGACGGUACCCAAAGAAUAAGCACCGGCUAACUUCGUG
Molecule: ribosomal RNA, 492 nt
Filed under: uncultured bacterium
Lineage: Bacteria
Description: partial 16S ribosomal RNA
Rfam family: Bacterial small subunit ribosomal RNA
Source: RNAcentral